GGGGUUGUGGCUCAGUGGUAGAGCGCUUGCCUUGCAUGUGAGAGACCCUGGCUUUGAUCCUCAAUUCCA
Molecule: transfer RNA, 69 nt
Filed under: Ictidomys tridecemlineatus (thirteen-lined ground squirrel)
Lineage: Eukaryota; Metazoa; Chordata; Mammalia; Rodentia; Sciuridae
Description: Spermophilus tridecemlineatus (thirteen-lined ground squirrel) tRNA
Rfam family: tRNA
About the family: Transfer RNA (tRNA) molecules are approximately 80 nucleotides in length. Their secondary structure includes four short double-helical elements and three loops (D, anti-codon, and T loops).
Source: Rfam by way of RNAcentral